AGUGAACGCUGGCGGCAGGCCUAACACAUGCAAGUCGAGCGGCAGCGGGUCCUUCGGGAUGCCGGCGAGCGGCGGACGGGUGGGGAAUACAUCGGAAUCUGCCCUGUCGUGGGGGAUAACCUAGGGAAACUUAGGCUAAUACCGCAUACGACCUACGGGCGAAAGCGGGGGAUCGCAAGACCUUGGGCCACAGGAUGAGCCGAUGUCCGAUUAGCUAGUUGGCGGGGUAAAGGCCCACCAAGGCGACGAUCGGUAGCUGGUCUGAGAGGAUGAUCAGCCACACUGGAACUGAGACACGGCCCAGACUCCUACGGGAGGCAGCAGUGGGGAAUAUUGGACAAUGGGCGCAAGCCUGAUCCAGCCAUGCCGCGUGGGUGAAGAAGGCCUUCGGGUUGUAAAGCCCUUUUGUCCGGGAAGAAAACGUGUAGGCUAAUACCCCGCGCGGAUGACGGUACCGAAAGAAUAAGCACCGGCUAACUUCGUG
RNAcentral lists this ribosomal RNA (484 nucleotides) under uncultured bacterium. Its description in RNAcentral is "partial 16S ribosomal RNA". It matches the Rfam family "Bacterial small subunit ribosomal RNA", at positions 30 to 507 of the family's 1533-position model. The record is from RNAcentral.